Non-coding RNA from Electrophorus electricus (electric eel), 108 nucleotides. The record is from RefSeq and is a predicted model, not a curated record. Lineage: Eukaryota; Metazoa; Chordata; Actinopteri; Gymnotiformes; Gymnotidae.
GUGCAUGUACCAUAUAGUGGAGUCUGUGACACGCGCAGAGAGCACGUCGAUUCCUUCCGACAGUACCUGUCCAGUAGUUGGGCCAGCUGUGCGAUGGUUUCAUACACU